RNAcentral lists this long non-coding RNA (299 nucleotides) under Musa acuminata (dwarf banana). Its description in RNAcentral is "long non-coding RNA (MACU_LNC005194)". The record is from RNAcentral. Lineage: Eukaryota; Viridiplantae; Streptophyta; Magnoliopsida; Zingiberales; Musaceae.
GACAAUGUAAAAUCUGGUGAUAUAAUCUUUCACCAGAAUAUAGAUCUUUGAGAAUUCCAUAGUUUAUCUUCCCAUCUAAUAAGAUUGAAGAAGUCCUUUCAUGCCCGUGCAUAUUUAAAUCUUCAGCAUCUGCAUUGCCUACAAUAUUACUUGAAGAUACACUGCAAACUGAUGGGUUCUUCACUUCUCCAUAUGAUUCCACGUAAUCAGCAAGCAAGACAUUUGUCUGAGGUAUGCUUGUAUUAUUCCAUGAUGCCUUUGAAGAGACAUUUCUAUCUGACCAUGUUGGAGAUGAUAUG